CAAACAGGACUUCAAUGGGUCAUGGAGUGUUACGGUCGACCUAGAUACUUUUAUAAAAUGUUUCGAAUGGGCAAUGAUGUUUUCAUGGCACUUCAUGAUUUGCUUGUCUCUGCAUAUGGUUUGACGUCAACCACUAAUGUUUCAUCAAUUGAGUCACUGGCCAUGUUCUUAUGGAUUGUUGGAGGCCCUCAAUCAUUUGCUCAAGCUGAGAACCGUUUUGUACGAUCACUUUGGACAGUUCAUACAAAGUUUAAGGAAGUUUUGUUAUGUUUGCGCAAGUUAGCGAAAGAUAACAUCAAACCUAGAGAUCCUACUUUUAGGCAUGAGCAUGAAAAGAUUAAGGAAGAGCGUUUCUGGCCUCAUUUCAAAGGCGCUAUUGGUGCCAUAGAUGAAUCACAUGUGCCAGUUUCAGUGCCUGCAGAUGAUGCGGUUAACCAUAGAUGUCGACAUGGUUUCACAUCUCAGAAUGUGCUUGCAGUAUGUGACUUUGACAUGAGGUUUACGUUUGUGGUUGCGGGUUGGCCGGGCUGUGCACAUGAUACAAGGGUCUUGAAUCAUGCAUUAGCACACUUCCCUUCAUUUCCUAUACCACCCAAUGGGAAAUACUAUCUUGUCGACUCUGGGUAUCCAAACCGAACGGGAUACCUUGCUCCUUUUAAGGGGAGUACAUACCAUCUGCCGGAAUUUCGUCUUCGCCGUCAUCGUCCACCUGAAGGGAAGUACGAGUUGUUUAACUUUUCACAUUCAUCCCUUCGAAAUGUUGUUGAGCGUGCUUUCGGGGUACUCAAGCAGAAAUGGCGCAUCUUGAAAGGGGUCCCAAGUUUCUCACCUCGUACACAGAAGCAUAUCAUCAUUGCUUGC
RNAcentral lists this ribosomal RNA (861 nucleotides) under Triticum aestivum (bread wheat). RNAcentral's name for it is "partial small subunit ribosomal RNA". Lineage: Eukaryota; Viridiplantae; Streptophyta; Magnoliopsida; Poales; Poaceae. The record is from RNAcentral.